RNAcentral lists this ribosomal RNA (2608 nucleotides) under Clostridioides difficile. Its description in RNAcentral is "23S ribosomal RNA". It matches the Rfam family "Bacterial large subunit ribosomal RNA". The record is from RNAcentral. Lineage: Bacteria; Bacillati; Bacillota; Clostridia; Peptostreptococcales; Peptostreptococcaceae.
UUGGGGUUGCGGACAUAUCAUAACGAAGAGGUAUCGUAAUUGAAGAGGUUUGGAAAGACCCACCACAGAAGGUAAUAGUCCUGUAUGUUAAACGAGAAGACUUCAGAUAUGAUCCAGAGUACCACGGGACACGUGAAACCCUGUGGGAAGCAGGAGGGACCACCCUCCAAGGCUAAAUACUACCUAGUGACCGAUAGCGUAUAGUACCGUGAGGGAAAGGUGAAAAGAACCCCGGGAGGGGAGUGAAAUAGAACCUGAAACCCUGCACUUACAAGCUGUGGAAGCACAUUUCUUGUGUGACCGCGUACUUUUUGUAGAACGGGCCAACGAGUUACGUUAAGUAGCAAGGUUAAGCACUUAAGGUGUGGAGCCGUAGCGAAAGCGAGUUUUAACUGAGCGUUCAGUUACUUGACGUAGACCCGAAACCGGGCGACCUACCCAUGAGCAGGAUGAAGCGAAAGUAAAAUUUCGUGGAGGUCCGAACCCACGAGCGUUGAAAAGCUCGGGGAUGACUUGUGGGUAGCGGUGAAAUUCCAAUCGAGCCCGGAGAUAGCUGGUUCUCCCCGAAAUAGCUUUAGGGCUAGCCUCAAGGUGAGAGAUACGGAGGUAGAGCACUGAAUGUCCUAGGGGGUAUUGCACCUACCGAAGACUAUCAAACUCCGAAUGCCGUCAUCUUAUACUUGGGAGUCAGACUGUGGGUGAUAAGAUUCAUAGUCGAAAGGGCAACAGCCCAGAUCGUCAGCUAAGGUCCCUAAAUGUAAGUUAAGUGGUAAAGGAUGUGGGAUUGCACAGACAACCAGGAUGUUGGCUUAGAAGCAGCCACUCAUUCAAAGAGUGCGUAAUAGCUCACUGGUCGAGUGAUCCUGCGCCGAAGAUUUCCGGGGCUAAAACUUACUACCGAAGCUACGGCAUCAGUAAUGAUGGGUAGGGGAGCUUCCCAUACGGGUUGAAGCAUGACCGUAAGGACAUGUGGACAGUAUGGGAGUGAGAAUGUUGGCAUGAGUAGCGAGAUGUGGGUGAGAAUCCCACAGGCCGUAAACCCAAGGUUUCCAGGGGAAGGUUCGUCCGCCCUGGGUUAGUCGGGACCUAAGCUGAGGCCGAAAGGCGUAGGUGAUGGACAACAGGUUGAUAUUCCUGUACUACCGAUAACCGUUUGAGAGAAGGGAUGACACAGUAGGAUAAGCUAAGCACACUGUUGGUUAUGUGUGCCCAAGCAUUGAGGCAGUCAAAGUAGGCAAAUCCGCUUUGAUAAUGCUGGGAUGUGAUGGGGAGCGAAAUUUAGUAGCGAAGUAGCUGAUUUCACACUGUCAAGAAAAGUCUCUAUCGAGGUUAAAGGUACCCGUACCGCAAACCGACACAGGUGGGUGAGGAGAGUAUCCUAAGGCCAGCGAGAGAACUGUUGUUAAGGAACUCGGCAAAAUGACCCCGUAACUUAGGGAUAAGGGGUGCCACCAUCAGGUGGCCGCAGAGAAUAGGCCCAAGCGACUGUUUACCAAAAACAUAGGUUUCUGCUAAGUCGCAAGACGAUGUAUAGGAGCUGACGCCUGCCCGGUGCUGGAAGGUUAAGGGGAUCUGUUAGAGCAAUCGAAGCAGUGAACUUAAGCCCCAGUAAACGGCGGCCGUAACUAUAACGGUCCUAAGGUAGCGAAAUUCCUUGUCGGGUAAGUUCCGACCCGCACGAAAGGCGUAACGAUUUGGGCACUGUCUCAACAACAGACUCGGUGAAAUUGUAAUUCCGGUGAAGAUGCCGGAUACCUGCGACAGGACGGAAAGACCCCAUGGAGCUUUACUGUAGCUUGACAUUGGGUNUUGGUACUACAUGUACAGGAUAGGUGGGAGGCUUUGAAACCAGGACGCCAGUUUUGGCGGAGCCAUCCUUGGGAUACCACCCUUGUAGUACUGGGACUCUAACCAUAGGCCAUGAAUCUGGUCUUGGGACACUGUCAGGUGGGCAGUUUGACUGGGGCGGUCGCCUCCCAAAAGGUAACGGAGGCGCUCAAAGGUUCUCUCAGUACGGUCGGAAAUCGUACGUAGAGUGUAAAGGCAAAAGAGAGCUUGAUUGCAAGACAUACAGGUCGAGCAAGGAUGAAAAUCGGACUUAGUGAUCCGGUGGUUCUGCGUGGAAGGGCCAUCGCUCAACGGAUAAAAGCUACCCUGGGGAUAACAGGCUUAUCUCCCCCAAGAGUCCACAUCGACGGGGAGGUUUGGCACCUCGAUGUCGGCUCAUCACAUCCUGGGGCUGUAGUAGGUCCCAAGGGUUGGGCUGUUCGCCCAUUAAAGUGGUACGCGAGCUGGGUUCAGAACGUCGUGAGACAGUUCGGUCCCUAUCCGUCGCAGGCGUAGGAAAUUUGAGAAGACCUGUCCUUAGUACGAGAGGACCGGGAUGGACGUACCUCUGGUGUACCAGUUGUUCUGCCAAGGGCAUGGCUGGGUAGCUAUGUACGGAAUGGAUAAGCGCUGAAAGCAUCUAAGCGCGAAGCCAACUUCAAGAUAAGAUUUCCCACCGCAAGGGUAAGACCCCAGAAAGACUAUCUGGUUGAUAGGUCGAAGGUGUAAGUGCAGCAAUGUAUUUAGCUUAUCGAUACUAAUAGGUCGAGGACUUGACCAA